UGGGGAAUUUUGGACAAUGGGCGAAAGCCUGAUCCAGCAAUGCCGCGUGUGUGAAGAAGGCCUUCGGGUUGUAAAGCACUUUUGUCCGGAAAGAAAUCCUCUGGGUUAAUACCUCGGGGGGAUGACGGUACCGGAAGAAUAAGCACCGGCUAACUACGUGCCAGCAGCCGCGGUAAUACGUAGGGUGCAAGCGUUAAUCGGAAUUACUGGGCGUAAAGCGUGCGCAGGCGGUUUUGUAAGACGGAUGUGAAAUCACCGGGCUUAACCUGGGAACUGCAUUCGCGACUGCAAGGCUCGAGUAUGGCAGAGGGUGGUAGAAUUCCACGUGUAGCAGUGAAAUGCGUACAGAGAUGGAGGAAUACCGAUGGCGAAGACAGCCCCCUGAGCCAAUACUGACGCUCAUGCAC
Molecule: ribosomal RNA, 407 nt
Filed under: uncultured bacterium
Lineage: Bacteria
Description: bacterial SSU rRNA
Rfam family: Bacterial small subunit ribosomal RNA
Source: RNAcentral